This 287-nucleotide ribosomal RNA is filed under the name Azotobacter chroococcum. RNAcentral describes it as "partial 16S ribosomal RNA". It matches the Rfam family "Bacterial small subunit ribosomal RNA", at positions 60 to 348 of the family's 1533-position model. Lineage: Bacteria; Pseudomonadati; Pseudomonadota; Gammaproteobacteria; Pseudomonadales; Pseudomonadaceae. The record is from RNAcentral.
CAGUCGAGCGGAUGAGGGGUGCUUGCAUCCCGAUUCAGCGGCGGACGGGUGAGUAAUGCCUAGGAAUCUGCCCGAUAGUGGGGGACAACGUUUCGAAAGGAACGCUAAUACCGCAUACGUCCUACGGGAGAAAGUGGGGGCUCUUCGGACCUCACGCUAUCGGAUGAGCCUAGGUCGGAUUAGCUAGUUGGUGGGGUAAAGGCUCACCAAGGCGACGAUCCGUAACUGGUCUGAGAGGAUGAUCAGUCACACUGGAACUGAGACACGGUCCAGACUCCUACGGGAGG